RNAcentral lists this ribosomal RNA (464 nucleotides) under Lachnospiraceae bacterium canine oral taxon 106. RNAcentral's name for it is "bacterial SSU rRNA". It matches the Rfam family "Bacterial small subunit ribosomal RNA", at positions 9 to 456 of the family's 1533-position model. Lineage: Bacteria; Bacillati; Bacillota; Clostridia; Lachnospirales; Lachnospiraceae. The record is from RNAcentral.
GAGUUUGAUCCUGGCUCAGGAUGAACGCUGGCGGCAUGCCUAACACAUGCAAGUUGAACGAGAAGUUUUGGAGGGAGUCUUCGGACGAACGAAGGGAUGGAAAGUAGCGAACGGGUGAGUAACGCGUGGGCAACCAACCUUACACAGGGGGAUAACACAGAGAAAUCUGUGCUAAUACCGCAUAAGCGCACAGUACUGCAUAGUACAGUGUGAAAAACUCCGGUGGUGUAAGACGGGCCCGCGUCUGAUUAGCUAGUUGGUAGGGUAAAAGCCUACCAAGGCAACGAUCAGUAGCCGACCUGAGAGGGUGAUCGGCCACAUUGGGACUGAGACACGGCCCAAACUCCUACGGGAGGCAGCAGUGGGGGAUAUUGCACGAUGGAGGAAACUCUGAUGCAGCAAUGCCGCGUGAAGGAAGAAGGUCUUCGGAUUGUAAACUUCUAUCAGCAGGGAAGAAAAUGACG